UACGUAGGGUGCAAGCGUUGUCCGGAAUUAUUGGGCGUAAAGAGCUCGUAGGCGGUCUGUCGCGUCGGCUGUGAAAACCCGCGGCUCAACUGUGGGCUUGCAGUCGAUACGGGCAGGCUGGAGUUCGGUAGGGGAGACUGGAAUUCCUGGUGUAGCGGUGAAAUGCGCAGAUAUCAGGAGGAACACCGGUGGCGAAGGCGGGUCUCUGGGCCGAUAACUGACGCUGGAG
This 229-nucleotide ribosomal RNA is filed under the name uncultured bacterium. Its description in RNAcentral is "partial 16S ribosomal RNA". It matches the Rfam family "Bacterial small subunit ribosomal RNA", at positions 524 to 751 of the family's 1533-position model. The record is from RNAcentral.